CCUUGUAUCAUAGUAAUAAAAAUUUCAGCAAGAGAAAUAUAUACCGAAAAAGCUUCCAUUCCCUUUUUUUUUUCAAUAGGCUGAAUGGGAAAAAAUAAAAAAUAAAAAAAAAAAAGCAUAUCAUUUUAAAGUUUAUAAAUUCAGUUUCUCUUUGCUUAUAAAUGUAAUGUGAAUCAAAUGGCUGCAAACUUGUCCAAGUAAUCAGUAAAAUCUAUCAAAGUUGUGCUCACAUGGAAACAAUUUGCAGGAGUUUUAAAGAAGGUGUAUACAAGAAGUAAAUCAAAGGAUCAAACCCUGAGCAGGUGCAGGCUUGGAAGAGUGCAGUUCACUUGUUGCUGCCGCUUUCGGGGACUCAGAAAGG
This 361-nucleotide long non-coding RNA is filed under the name Trifolium pratense (red clover). Its description in RNAcentral is "long non-coding RNA (TPRA_LNC002281)". Lineage: Eukaryota; Viridiplantae; Streptophyta; Magnoliopsida; Fabales; Fabaceae. The record is from RNAcentral.